CCUGGGGAGUACGGCCGCAAGGUUAAAACUCAAAUGAAUUGACGGGGGCCCGCACAAGCGGUGGAGCAUGUGGUUUAAUUCGAUGCAACGCGAAGAACCUUACCUGGUCUUGACAUCCACAGAACUUUCCAGAGAUGGAUUGGUGCCUUCGGGAACUGUGAGACAGGUGCUGCAUGGCUGUCGUCAGCUCGUGUUGUGAAAUGUUGGGUUAAGUCCCGCAACGAGCGCAACCCUUAUCCUUUGUUGCCAGCGGUUAGGCCGGGAACUCAAAGGAGACUGCCAGUGAUAAACUGGAGGAAGGUGGGGAUGACGUCAAGUCAUCAUGGCCCUUACGACCAGGGCUACACACGUGCUACAAUGGCAUAUACAAAGAGAAGCGACCU
Molecule: ribosomal RNA, 383 nt
Filed under: Klebsiella pneumoniae
Lineage: Bacteria; Pseudomonadati; Pseudomonadota; Gammaproteobacteria; Enterobacterales; Enterobacteriaceae
Description: bacterial SSU rRNA
Rfam family: Bacterial small subunit ribosomal RNA
Source: RNAcentral